AGAGCGAACGCUGGCGGCAGGCCUAAUACAUGCAAGUCGAACGGACCCUUCGGGGUUAGUGGCGGACGGGUGAGUAACACGUGGGAACGUGCCCUUUGGUUCGGAACAACUCAGGGAAACUUGAGCUAAUACCGGAUGUGCCCUUCGGGGGAAAGAUUUAUCGCCAUUGGAGCGGCCCGCGUCUGAUUAGCUAGUUGGUGGGGUAAAGGCCUACCAAGGCUACGAUCAGUAGCUGGUCUGAGAGGAUGAUCAGCCACACUGGGACUGAGACACGGCCCAGACUCCUACGGGGGGCAGCAGUGAGGAAUUUUCGUCAAUGGGGCAACCCUGAACGAGCAACGCCGCGUGCAGGAAGAAGGUUUUCGGAUCGUAAACUGCUUUUCUCGGGGAAGAGAACGGACGGUACCCGAGGAAUCAGCCCCGGCUAACUACGCGCCAGCAGCCGC
This 446-nucleotide ribosomal RNA is filed under the name uncultured bacterium. RNAcentral describes it as "SSU rRNA". It matches the Rfam family "Bacterial small subunit ribosomal RNA", at positions 26 to 518 of the family's 1533-position model. The record is from RNAcentral.